RNAcentral lists this ribosomal RNA (460 nucleotides) under uncultured bacterium. RNAcentral's name for it is "partial 16S ribosomal RNA". It matches the Rfam family "Bacterial small subunit ribosomal RNA", at positions 338 to 795 of the family's 1533-position model. The record is from RNAcentral.
CCUACGGGAGGCAACAGUGAGGAAUAUUGGUCAAUGGACGAGAGUCUGAACCAGCCAAGUCGCGUGAAGGAUGACUGCCCUAUGGGUUGUAAGCUUCUUUUAUAAAGGAAUAAAACGAGGCACGUGUGCCUUUUUGCAUGUACUUUAUGAAUAAGGAUCGGCUAACUCCGUGCCAGCAGCCGCGGUAAUACGGAGGAUGCGAGCGUUAUCCGGAUUUAUUGGGUUUAAAGGGAGCGUAGAUGGGUUGUUAAGUCAGUUGUGAAAGUUUGCGGCUCAACCGGAAAAUUGCAUUUGAUACUGGCAGGCGUGAGUACAGUUGAGGGAGGCAGAAUUCGUGGUGUAGCGGUGAAAUGCGUAGAUAUCACGAAGAACCCCGGUGGCGAAGGCGGCUUACUAAACUGUGACUGACAUUGAUGCGCGAAAGUGUGGGGAGCAAACAGGAUUAGAUACCCGGGUAGUC